AAUAUUGGACAAUGGGCGAAAGCCUGAUCCAGCCAUGCCGCGUGUGUGAAGAAGGUCUUCGGAUUGUAAAGCACUUUAAGUUGGGAGGAAGGGCAGUAAGUUACUACCUUGCUGUUUUGACGUCACCGACAGAAUAAGCACCGGCUUACUUCGUGCCAGCAGCCGCGGUAAUAAGAAGGGUGCAAGCGUUAAUCGGAAUUACUGGGCGUAAAGCGGGGGUAGGUGGUUUGUUAAGUUGGAAAUGAAAGGCCCGGGCUUAACCUGGGAAUUGCUUUCAAAACUAACGAGCUAGAGGAAGGUAGAAGGUAGUGGAAUUUUCUGUGUAGCGGUGAAAUGCGUAGAUAUGGGAAGGAACAUCAGUGGCGAAGGAGGCCACCUGGGAUAAUACUGACACUGAGGUGCGAAGGCGUGGGGAGCAAACAGG
RNAcentral lists this ribosomal RNA (424 nucleotides) under uncultured bacterium. RNAcentral describes it as "partial 16S ribosomal RNA". It matches the Rfam family "Bacterial small subunit ribosomal RNA", at positions 360 to 776 of the family's 1533-position model. The record is from RNAcentral.